Molecule: long non-coding RNA, 910 nt
Organism: Populus nigra (black poplar)
Lineage: Eukaryota; Viridiplantae; Streptophyta; Magnoliopsida; Malpighiales; Salicaceae
Exons: 2
Source: RefSeq, a predicted model, not a curated record
CUUAGAUGGACUGACAUUCGGUCUCAAUAAUUUUAAUUAAACUCAAGAUUUUCAAGUCAUGUCCAACAGUCCAAGUAUCAAGAGUAAUAUGCAUAUACACUCUUGAUAUCCCACCCCUCUCUAGCUGAAUCUAUAACCAAAAAGUCACCAUUCUCACUCACAUCCUAGCUGAAUCUGUUCUUCCUUUCCUACACUCUUGAUCCAUUAUCAAUGGUUUGGAAUUUGUUUUUCUUCACUACGUUAAUCUUAGAGGCAAUCAUUCUCUUACAAUACGUGUUCACAGGUGCUUUCCAAGCUCCUUGGUAAAAAGGACAAGAACCCAGUUCAUUGAUCUGGUCUAAGAUUCCUUCUGCAAUUCUUUUUCUUCACUACUGCUUUAGAAGACCAAAAUCUGAUCAGUGAAGUGCAUUGAAAAUAUGCAAUGGGACCAUCAACAGGAGGAAGAACAAGACUCUCUGGAAUGCAGAAGCAAGUGCUUACUCUGUACCGGGGCUUCUUACGAGCAGCUCGUUCAAAGUCCCCUGAAGAUCGACGGCAGAUUGAAUCCUUUGUUUCAGCUGAGUUCCGCCGCAACUCCAAACAAGUAGAUCGCAAGAAUUUCAUCUACAUUGAGUAUUUGCUUCGCCGUGGUAAGAAGCAGCUUGAGCAGCUCAACAGUCCUGAUACUGUUGGAUUGUCAUAUAUGAAUGCCACUUUCUCUGAAACUGAAAAUCCCAAAAACUAAGUCGAGAUGAAUUACUGACAUCUGCGUAAUAUUGUGACAUCUUUUUUUUUUUGCAAUUUAUUUCUAGCUCAAACAAUUCUGUUCAUAAAACGACUGCAGUCAUUUUUUUCAGUUGUCUUAAGCAGGUUUGCAUGCCAUUGUUCUAUUGAGGCCGUGCUUGAUGUUUAAACCAAUGUUAGUUUCUUC